UCUAUGCAACUGGCGGAUAAGUGGGACUACCCACAGGGAGCAUAGAUAAUAUUUGUUAGUCGACCGCCUGGGCAACC
This 77-nucleotide non-coding RNA is filed under the name uncultured Eubacterium sp. Its description in RNAcentral is "ZMP/ZTP riboswitch". It matches the Rfam family "ZMP/ZTP riboswitch aptamer (pfl RNA motif)". Rfam says of the family: Previously known as pfl RNA. ZMP is also known as AICAR. Lineage: Bacteria; Bacillati; Bacillota; Clostridia; Eubacteriales; Eubacteriaceae. The record is from RNAcentral.